RNAcentral lists this long non-coding RNA (571 nucleotides) under Manacus vitellinus (golden-collared manakin). RNAcentral's name for it is "lncRNA (ENSMVIG00005018479.1)". Lineage: Eukaryota; Metazoa; Chordata; Aves; Passeriformes; Pipridae. The record is from RNAcentral.
UUCACCCUUCAUGUGUUUAACAGAUGGGGCUUCUUUGCUGCUCACCUGUUUGGCAUCAGCACUGUAACCAGUCUCUGCUGGGUGACAGCCCCCCAGGACCUGGUGCGCAUGGGACUUGCGGCUGUGCUGUGGGACUGAGCUGAGAGAAGAAGGGAGCUCACAUGGACUUUUUUUGGGCCUCUUUGGUCCAAAUGUCUUAUAGCACUUGGAAGAGAAAGCCAUUGCUUUCGUGUUUUCAGCAGGACAAUUGAACAGUGACCAGAGUCCUGAGCCCUUUGGCAGAAGCAGGACUUCCCAGCACAGAGAGCCGAUGAGGUCCAGCCUUGCUUGGGGCACGGAGCAAUGCCCACAGCAGCAGCAGCAGCUGCCCCUGGAAACAGGCAGAGAGACAUGUUGGGGAGAGGAAACGUGAGAUCUGACACUAAAACAGAAGGCUGGAUUUGUGGAGAGAUCUUGAAAAACAGCUGAGAGAAACCUCUGUGGAGCAGCAGGUAACUUCAUUUCCCAUCACCACUUUCUUUCCUAGGGUUAUCUUCUCUUCACUCAAUAUCAGAUCAGAGCUGUUAUCAGU